Molecule: transfer RNA, 71 nt
Filed under: Caudoviricetes sp.
Lineage: Duplodnaviria; Heunggongvirae; Uroviricota; Caudoviricetes
Description: tRNA-Met
Rfam family: tRNA
About the family: Transfer RNA (tRNA) molecules are approximately 80 nucleotides in length. Their secondary structure includes four short double-helical elements and three loops (D, anti-codon, and T loops). Further hydrogen bonds mediate the characteristic L-shaped molecular structure. tRNAs have two regions of fundamental functional importance: the anti-codon, which is responsible for specific mRNA codon recognition, and the 3' end, to which the tRNAs corresponding amino acid is attached (by aminoacyl-tRNA synthetases). tRNAs cope with the degeneracy of the genetic code in two manners: having more than one tRNA (with a specific anti-codon) for a particular amino acid; and 'wobble' base-pairing, i.e. permitting non-standard base-pairing at the 3rd anti-codon position.
Source: RNAcentral
CGCAGAAUAGUGUAAUGGUAACACAUUGGACUCAUUAUCCAAAACUAAAGGUUCGAAUCCUUUUUCUGCUA